This 406-nucleotide unclassified non-coding RNA is filed under the name soil metagenome. Its description in RNAcentral is "partial contains 5.8S ribosomal RNA, internal transcribed spacer 2, and large subunit ribosomal RNA". The stretch from base 1 to 121 matches the Rfam family "5.8S ribosomal RNA", at positions 35 to 154 of the family's 154-position model. The record is from RNAcentral.
GAUGAAGAACGUAGCGAAAUGCGAUAAGUAAUGUGAAUUGCAGAAUUCAGUGAAUCAUCGAAUCUUUGAACGCACCUUGCGCCCUUUGGCCAUUCCGAAGGGCAUGCCUGUUUGAGUAUCAUGAACACCUCAACUCUUCAUGGUUUUCCAUGAUGAGCUUGGACUUUGGGGGUCUUGCUGGCCUGUGGGUCGGCUCCUCUCAAAUGAAUCAGCUUGCCGGUUUUUGGUGGGCAUCACAGGUGUGAUAACUAUCUACGCUUGUGGUUUUCCACCAGGGUAACCUUCAGCAGUGGAGGUUCACUGGAGCUUACAAAUGUCUCUCCUCUGUGAGGACAGCCCUUUGAAUGUUUGAUCUCAAAUCAGGUAGGACUACCAGCUGAACUUAAGCAUAUCAAUAAGCGGAGGA